AAACAAUAGUUUUGUCUAACC
RNAcentral lists this small nuclear RNA (21 nucleotides) under Arabidopsis thaliana (thale cress). Its description in RNAcentral is "snRNA_00546". Lineage: Eukaryota; Viridiplantae; Streptophyta; Magnoliopsida; Brassicales; Brassicaceae. The record is from RNAcentral.